Molecule: ribosomal RNA, 440 nt
Filed under: uncultured bacterium
Lineage: Bacteria
Description: bacterial SSU rRNA
Rfam family: Bacterial small subunit ribosomal RNA
Source: RNAcentral
CCUACGGGAGGCUGCAGUGGGGAAUCUUGCCCAAUGGGCGAAAGCCUGAGGCAGCAACGCCGCGUGCGGGAAGACGGCCCUCGGGUUGUAAACCGCUUUCAGCGGGGACGAAGCCGAGCGGGUUAAUAGCCCGUCUCGGUGACGGUACCUGCAGAAGAAGUCCCGGCUAACUACGUGCCAGCAGCCGCGGUAAUACGUAGGGGACGAGCGUUGUCCGGAAUCAUUGGGCGUAAAGAGCGUGUAGGCGGCCUAUCAAGUCCUGCGUGAAAUCUCGGGGCUCAACCCCGAGCGGUCGUGGGAAACUGGCAGGCUAGAGUGCGGGAGAGGAGAGUGGAAUUCCCAGUGUAGCGGUGAAAUGCGCAGAUAUUGGGAAGAACACCCGUGGCGAAGGCGGCUCUCUGGAACGCAACUGACGCUGAGACGCGAAAGCGUGGGGAGCA